Molecule: ribosomal RNA, 292 nt
Filed under: uncultured bacterium
Lineage: Bacteria
Description: partial 16S ribosomal RNA
Rfam family: Bacterial small subunit ribosomal RNA
Source: RNAcentral
GUGCCAGCAGCCGCGGUAAUACGGAGGGUGCUAGCGUUGUUCGGAAUCACUGGGCGUAAAGCGCGUGUAGGCGGUCCGCUAAGUCUGGUGUGAAAGCCCGGGGCUCACCCCCGGAAGGGCACUGGAAACUGACGGACUAGAGUCCCGGAGAGGAGGGUGGAAUUCCUGGUGUAGCGGUGAAAUGCGUAGAUAUCAGGAGGAACACCGGUGGCGAAGGCGGCCCUCUGGACGGUGACUGACGCUGAGACGCGAAAGCGUGGGGAGCAAACAGGAUUAGAUACCCGAGUAGUCC